GGAGGUAUGGCAGAGCGGCCGAAUGCACUCGCCUUGAAAGCGAGCGUCCCUAACACGGACCGGGGGUUCAAAUCCCUCUACCUCCGCAA
RNAcentral lists this transfer RNA (89 nucleotides) under Corynebacterium kroppenstedtii DSM 44385. RNAcentral's name for it is "tRNA-Ser". It matches the Rfam family "tRNA". From Rfam's summary of the family: Transfer RNA (tRNA) molecules are approximately 80 nucleotides in length. Their secondary structure includes four short double-helical elements and three loops (D, anti-codon, and T loops). Lineage: Bacteria; Bacillati; Actinomycetota; Actinomycetes; Mycobacteriales; Corynebacteriaceae. The record is from RNAcentral.